CAGCCGCCGCGGUAAUACGAAGGGUGCAAGCGUUACUCGGAAUUACUGGGCGUAAAGCGUGCGUAGGCGGUGAGUUAAGUCUGCUGUGAAAUCCCCGGGCUCAACCUGGGAAUGGCAGUGGAUACUGGCUCGCUAGAGUGUGUCAGAGGAUGGUGGAAUUCCCGGUGUAGCGGUGAAAUGCGUAGAGAUCGGGAGGAACAUCAGUGGCGAAGGCGGCCAUCUGGGACAACACUGACGCUGAGGCACGAAAGCGUGGGGAGCAAACAGGAUUAGAUACCCCCGUAGUCCCUGUCUCUUAUAC
This 301-nucleotide ribosomal RNA is filed under the name uncultured bacterium. RNAcentral describes it as "partial 16S ribosomal RNA". It matches the Rfam family "Bacterial small subunit ribosomal RNA", at positions 509 to 807 of the family's 1533-position model. The record is from RNAcentral.